GAUGAACGCUGGCGGCGUGCCUAAUACAUGCAAGUCGAGCGAACAGACGAGAUUGCUUGCACUCUCUGACGUUAGCGGCGGGCGAGUGAGUAACACGUGGGUAACCUCCCUAUGAGACGGGGAUAACUUCGGGAAACCGGAGCUAAUCCCGGAUAAUAUUUAGCUUCGCAUGGCGCAAUAGUGAAAGACUGUUCGGCUGUCAAUUAUAGAUGGACCCGCGCGGUAUUAGCUUGUUGGGGAGGUAACGGCUCCCACAGGCUACGAUACAUAGCCGACCUGAGAGGGUGAUCGGCCACACUGUGACUGAGACACGGCCCAGACUCCUACGGGGGGCAGCAGUAGGGAAUCUUCCGCAAUGGACGAAAGUCUGACGGAGCAAUGCCGCGUGAGUGAAGAAGGUGCUCGGAUCGUAAAACUCUGUUGUAAGGGAAGAACAAGUACGUUAGUAACUGAACGUACCUUGACGGUACCUGAACAGAAAGCCACGGCUAACUACGUG
RNAcentral lists this ribosomal RNA (499 nucleotides) under uncultured bacterium. RNAcentral's name for it is "partial 16S ribosomal RNA". It matches the Rfam family "Bacterial small subunit ribosomal RNA", at positions 28 to 507 of the family's 1533-position model. The record is from RNAcentral.